RNAcentral lists this ribosomal RNA (1486 nucleotides) under uncultured bacterium. RNAcentral describes it as "bacterial SSU rRNA". It matches the Rfam family "Bacterial small subunit ribosomal RNA". The record is from RNAcentral.
AGAGUUUGAUCCUGGCUCAGGAUGAACGCUAGCGGCAGGCUUAACACAUGCAAGUCGAGGGGCAGCGGGUGUAGCAAUACAUGCCGGCGACCGGCGCACGGGUGCGUAACACGUAUGCAACCUACCUAUAACUGGAGGAUAGCCCCGAGAAAUCGGGAUUAAUACUCCAUAACAUUGCGGAAUGGCAUCAUUCUGCAAUUAAAGCUCCGGCGGUUAUAGAUGGACAUGCGCGGUAUUAGUUUGUUGGUGAGGUAACGGCUCACCAAGACUACGAUACCUAGGGGUUCUGAGAGGAUUAACCCCCACACUGGUACUGGGACACGGACCAGACUCCUACGGGAGGCAGCAGUGAGGAAUAUUGGUCAAUGGGCGCAAGCCUGAACCAGCCAUGCCGCGUGAAGGAUGACGGCCCUAUGGGUUGUAAACUUCUUUUGUACGGGAAAAAACCUUCGGUCGUGUACCGGAGUUGAUGGUACCGUAAGAAUAAGGAUCGGCUAACUCCGUGCCAGCAGCCGCGGUAAUACGGAGGAUCCAAGCGUUAUCCGGAUUUAUUGGGUUUAAAGGGUGCGUAGGCGGGAUGAUAAGUCAGUGGUGAAAUCCUACAGCUUAACUGUAGAACUGCCAUUGAUACUGUCAACCUUGAGUACAUUUGAAGUGGGCGGAAUGUGUGGUGUAGCGGUGAAAUGCUUAGAUAUCACACAGAACACCGAUAGCGAAGGCAGCUCACUAAACUGUAACUGACGCUGAGGCACGAAAGCGUGGGGAGCAAACAGGAUUAGAUACCCUGGUAGUCCACGCUGUAAACGAUGAUCACUCGAUGUGUGCGAUACACUGUACGCGUCUGAGCGAAAGCAUUAAGUGAUCCACCUGGGGAGUACGAUCGCAAGAUUGAAACUCAAAGGAAUUGACGGGGGCCCGCACAAGCGGAGGAGCAUGUGGUUUAAUUCGAUGAUACGCGAGGAACCUUACCUGGGCUUGAACGUAUGACGACGUUCCGUGAAAGCGGAAUUCCCUUCGGGGCGUCUUACGUGGUGCUGCAUGGCUGUCGUCAGCUCGUGCCGUGAGGUGUUGGGUUAAGUCCCGUAACGAGCGCAACCCCUAUUCUUAGUUGCCAUCAGGUAAUGCUGGGGACUCUAAGAAAACUGCCUACGCAAGUAGAGAGGAAGGUGGGGAUGACGUCAAGUCAGCACGGCCCUUACGUCCAGGGCUACACACGUGCUACAAUGGUUGGUACAGAGGGUCGCUACCUGGUGACAGGAUGCUAAUCUCUAAAACCAAUCUCAGUUCGGAUCGAAGUCUGCAACUCGACUUCGUGAAGUUGGAUUCGCUAGUAAUCGGAUAUCAGCAAUGAUCCGGUGAAUACGUUCCCGGGCCUUGUACACACCGCCCGUCAAGCCAUGGGAGCUGAGGGUACCUAAAGUCCGUAACCGCAAGGAGCGGCCUAGGGUAAAACCAGUGACUGGGGCUAAGUCGUAACAAGGUAACC